UACGGAGGGUGCAAGCGUUAUCCGGAUUCACUGGGUUUAAAGGGUGCGUAGGUGGGGUGGUAAGUCAGUGGUGAAAUCUCCAGGCUUAACUUGGAAACUGCCAUUGAUACUAUCAUUCUUGAAUACCGUGGAGAUGAGCGGAAUAUGUCAUGUAGCGGUGAAAUGCUUAGAUAUGACAUAGAACACCGAUAGCGAAGGCAGCUUGCUACACAAUCAUUGACACUGAGGCACGAAAGCGUGGGGAUCAAACAGG
RNAcentral lists this ribosomal RNA (253 nucleotides) under uncultured bacterium. Its description in RNAcentral is "partial 16S ribosomal RNA". It matches the Rfam family "Bacterial small subunit ribosomal RNA", at positions 524 to 776 of the family's 1533-position model. The record is from RNAcentral.